ACUCUCCAGAUUCCUUACCUACCAGAUCUAAACACGGCUCUGCAUAGUUAUUCAAGAAGGAGAAGUAAAAUUGAAGUUGACUUAAUUUUUUUUUGGUGACACAUGAGCUAGUUUCAAGCAAGC
This 123-nucleotide small nucleolar RNA is filed under the name Echinops telfairi (small Madagascar hedgehog). Its description in RNAcentral is "Small nucleolar RNA SNORA61 (ENSETEG00000024386.1)". Lineage: Eukaryota; Metazoa; Chordata; Mammalia; Afrosoricida; Tenrecidae. The record is from RNAcentral.